GAUGAACGCUAGCGGGAGGCUUAAUACAUGCAAGUCGAGGGGUAACAGUGGAGCUUGCUCCAGCUGACGACCGGCGAACGGGUGAGUAACGCGUACGGAAUCUACCUAUUACAGGGGGAUAGCCUUGGGAAACUGAGAUUAAUACCCCAUAGUAUUACGGGAUCGCAUGAUCUUGUAAUUAAAACUCCGGUGGUAAUAGAUGAUCGUGCGUCUUAUUAGCUAGUUGGUGAGGUAAUGGCUCACCAAGGCGACGAUAAGUAGGGGGCGUGAGAGCGUGAUCCCCCACACGGGUACUGAGACACGGACCCGACUCCUACGGGAGGCAGCAGUAAGGAAUAUUGGACAAUGGCCGAAAGGCUGAUCCAGCCAUCCCGCGUGCAGGAUGACGGCCCUAUGGGUUGUAAACUGCUUUUAUUUGGGAAGAAAAGCGCUGAUUUAUCAGCGUCUGACGGUACCUUAUGAAUAAGCACCGGCUAACUCCG
Molecule: ribosomal RNA, 482 nt
Filed under: uncultured Saprospiraceae bacterium
Lineage: Bacteria; Pseudomonadati; Bacteroidota; Saprospiria; Saprospirales; Saprospiraceae
Description: bacterial SSU rRNA
Rfam family: Bacterial small subunit ribosomal RNA
Source: RNAcentral